AGAGUUUGAUCCUGGCUCAGAAGGAACGCUGGCAGCGUGCAUAACACAUGCAAGUCGAACGGGAUUAUUAUCUUCGGAUGAUAUGAGAGUGGCGAACGGGUGAGUAACACGUAAGAAUCUACCUUUAGGACGGGGAUAACUUCUGGAAACGGAUGCUAAUACCCGAUAUGCUGUGGAGUGAAAGGAAUUUCGCCUAAAGAUGAUCUUGCGUCUGAUUAGCUAGAUAGUGUGGUAAUGGCGCACUAUGGCGACGAUCAGUAGCUGGUCUGAGAGGAUGGACAGCCACAUUGGAACUGAGACACGGUCCAAACUCCUACGGGAGGCAGCAGUGGGGAAUUUUCCGCAAUGGGCGAAAGCCUGACGGAGCGACGCUGCGUGAAGGAUGACGGCCUGCGGGUUGUAAACUUCUUUUCUCGAAGAAGAAUAAAUGACGGUAUUCGAGGAAUAAGCAUCGGCUAACUCUGUGCCAGCAGCCGCGGUAAGACAGAGGAUGCAAGUGUUAUUCGGAUUGAUUGGGCGUAAAGCGUCUGUAGGCGGUUUGGAAAGUCUUUUGUGAAAUUCUUCAGCUCAACUGGGGGUCCGCAAAAGAA
This 590-nucleotide ribosomal RNA is filed under the name uncultured cyanobacterium. RNAcentral's name for it is "bacterial SSU rRNA". It matches the Rfam family "Bacterial small subunit ribosomal RNA", at positions 8 to 631 of the family's 1533-position model. Lineage: Bacteria; Bacillati; Cyanobacteriota. The record is from RNAcentral.